This 192-nucleotide unclassified non-coding RNA is filed under the name fungal sp. RNAcentral's name for it is "partial internal transcribed spacer region". The stretch from base 1 to 46 matches the Rfam family "Eukaryotic small subunit ribosomal RNA", at positions 1786 to 1831 of the family's 1831-position model. The record is from RNAcentral. Lineage: Eukaryota; Fungi.
AAGUCGUAACAAGGUUUCCGUAGGUGAACCUGCGGAAGGAUCAUUCUUGAAUUUGGACUUGAUGUCCUUAAUCUUUAAAUCCUUUGACACCUGUGAACCGUUGGCCCUCGGGCCUAUUUACAAACAUCAGUGUAAUGAACGUAAGAUGCAUAAUGAAUAAUAAAACUUUCAACAACGGAUCUCUUGGCUCUC